AAACAAAUCAGGAAGAUACCUUUGUGGACGUGUGGUGUUUUGCUAAAUGCAGAGUGUUUUGCAGAGACAGAUCUGUUACGAUGGUAAACAUUGACAACGUUGGGGACUGCGGAGAGGUCGCGCCAUCCACCUGUCCCAGCUCUCUGGUGCUGGAGUCAGACAUGUUGGGGCAGUACUGCAAGCAGUAAAGAUGCCCAGCUUCUCUGACGCUACCACAGUUCGCACUGCUAGUACAGCUCCGGGCAGCCAGAGUCGCUGGGAUGAAAUAAGGGCAGUACAUGGCAAGACAAAUAACUGAGCUACCUACAUCUCCAGCCAAGGCGCUGGUAGACCAUGCUGGCGUGUGUUUGGGUACGAUGAAGAAUUUACUUACUGCAGCAGACUGAAAGUGAAGGUCUGGCUUGGAUGGUGUUCCCAAACCUGGCAUCCAUAUCCCGCAUUUAGGUAGCUAAAUCUGUCACUUACAUGCUUUAGAUACAUGUGUUAAUUGCACAAAUGCCAACAAAAAUGACAUGUUUUUAAAGUGUUAGAAGUGUAAAUAGCUGCUCUUCUGAAAUGGCCACAGUGUAUAUUUUUAGCUCCUACGUACUCUUGCAAAUGCAUCAUAUUUGUUGUAGCAUCUAGCUAUAAUAACGUUAUUAGUAUCUGUUUGUAAUACUAUUGAUGCUCCUGCAAAAAGCGCUGUAGAAUAUACUUUAAAUACUGGCUUUUUGUACGUCUCACACAACUAUUCAUUAAUACCACGGGAACAGCGUGCUACUGUUCCAGGUUUUGUGAGAACCAGCGC
This is a long non-coding RNA of Chroicocephalus ridibundus (black-headed gull), 787 nucleotides long. RefSeq lists it as uncharacterized. NCBI's taxonomy places the organism in Eukaryota, Metazoa, Chordata, Aves, Charadriiformes, Laridae. The transcript has 3 exons. The record is from RefSeq and is a predicted model, not a curated record.